This 29-nucleotide non-coding RNA is filed under the name Rattus norvegicus (Norway rat). The record is from RNAcentral. Lineage: Eukaryota; Metazoa; Chordata; Mammalia; Rodentia; Muridae.
UGGCCACCAAGGGAUCUUAGAUACCCCAA